RNAcentral lists this ribosomal RNA (99 nucleotides) under Escherichia albertii. The record is from RNAcentral. Lineage: Bacteria; Pseudomonadati; Pseudomonadota; Gammaproteobacteria; Enterobacterales; Enterobacteriaceae.
GGUGGUCCCACCUGACCCCAUGCCGAACUCAGAAGUGAAACGCCGUAGCGCCGAUGGUAGUGUGGGGCUUCCCCAUGCGAGAGUAGGGAACUGCCAGGC